GGGAAAAAUAGCGAUAAAAAAAAGAAAUAAAAAUUUUUCAAGGAAAUAUGUUUUCUAAUAUUCAAGAAGUCCUUCAUUUGAAAUAAAAUCAGAAAGUGUGAACGAUGUAAUAAUAAUAAUACGUGAGAUUUUGAAAUUCAAUCGAUAGAUACAGUUAAAAUCUAUAAAAAGAAAAAAGAAAAAAAGUAUUUGUGAAGUGUAGAAAUUGCUCUGAUUUUUCAUGAAUUUAAAAUGUAGACAGAAUAGAAUGAGGAAGAAGAAAAAAGAAAUAAGAAAAAAAAAAGAUUAAGUAGCGGUAUAUCCUUGAAGCCACGCGCCUUUGGUGCAUCCAGGCAAGAAUUUUAUGGUCUUCCAUAAUGAAGGACUGACUGAUACAAGUUUUUUUGCUUUUUGUAUUUCGUUCCUCCCCGUAGCUUGUAAAUGGUUUCUCUUAUUUUCUUCUUUUUUUUCUUGGACCUUUUUUUUUUAUUUGUCUAUCUCUUUUACUCCUUCCUCUACCGUUUUCAUGUUCCCAAUAGGAUCUAUAGGUGACUACUGAGUUCUGAUGUCCUAUAGUCACGUUUUAUAUCCACUAGGACAAUGUUAAAGUUUAGAAAAAUUGCGAAAAUCUAGGAUUUCCAAUAGAAAUCGAAAUAGAAAUCUUGUAAUAGUACAUAAGGAUAUUUAUGACAAUAUAAUCCUUGUUUUCGAUAGUAUUUUAAUUUUAUUAUUUCCUUUAUUAGGCUCCCGGAGUGUGACCAUCGAAAGUGUAGAGAAACGAAACUUCUAAGGGACACAACUUGUAUCGUAAGCGUGCCGUUACAAGACUAUUUUUACAUAAGAUAGUGGUCGUGUGGCGUACGUCGAGGAUAUGACACACGACUAUACGACGAGGAGAAUACGCGGACAAGGACGACGACGAUGAGGAUAAGGAUGAGGAUAAGGAUGAGGAUAAGGAUGAGGAUAAGGAUGAGGAAGAGAAGGCGACGAGAAUACUGCAGAGAAGUGGUGGGUAGGGUGGGGAGAGGGUGUGUACACAUAAACGGUGUACGAGCGUUAAAGCGGCUUUGCGCCGAUAGCGGCACCUUUGAUCUAUCCGUUGCGUACCUCAGCACGUCCCCACCCCACUCAUUCAACCAGCGAUCCCCCACCUCUUCCCUGUCACUGGCAUAAAAUCGUGAAACGUGCCGACGAAGGUGUCGUACGAGGGCAUAUAAAGUCGUAAGCAGGAAUACCGAGGAGUAAGCGUCGCGACGCCCUGGGGGGACCCUAGAGACAGAAGCUCCGCCCUGUGGAGUCGUGCGCCAACCGGUGCGGUAGGAGGGGCCUCAUCAUGUCGCCUCCAAGGACAGGUAGUCAACUAAAGGCAAGCCGUACAACUUCCGCUACGCUCCUCAACUAAACUUUAGUAUUGCUUGGGCUCUUGUAAUAGAAAGAAGAAGAAGAAGAAUCUUCUUCUUCCUACGUU
Polistes dominula (European paper wasp) is the source of this 1447-nucleotide long non-coding RNA. Lineage: Eukaryota; Metazoa; Arthropoda; Insecta; Hymenoptera; Vespidae. The record is from RefSeq and is a predicted model, not a curated record.